This 253-nucleotide ribosomal RNA is filed under the name uncultured bacterium. Its description in RNAcentral is "partial 16S ribosomal RNA". It matches the Rfam family "Bacterial small subunit ribosomal RNA", at positions 524 to 776 of the family's 1533-position model. The record is from RNAcentral.
UACGAAGGGGGCUAGCGUUGCUCGGAAUGACUGGGCGUAAAGGGCGCGUAGGCGGUUUUGACAGUCAGACGUGAAAUUCCUGGGCUCAACCUGGGGGCUGCGUUUGAUACGUCGGGACUGGAGUGCGGAAGAGGGUCGUGGAAUUCCCAGUGUAGAGGUGAAAUUCGUAGAGAUUGGGAAGAACACCGGUGGCGAAGGCGGCGACCUGGUCCGUGACUGACGAUGAGGCGCGAAAGAGUGGGGAGCAAACAGG